CCCGGAGAAGCCCGCGCGCAGCAGCCGGCCAUCCGCGGGGCGCUGCCCGGCCGGGCGCAGCCGUGUAUAAAGUGGACCCUUCCAUCAUUUUUGAUCCUUCCGUAAGCUGAAUGGUGAAGAGAUUUACUAGAGACUUCUGCAUGUGAAAUCCAAACAUGGGACCCUGCCUGUGGGGAAACUGACACCCUGCAAGAGCGUCAACUUCGGUUCUGAUGUGAGCUUCCCCAGCAUGCUCCAGAGCUCUCAGACCCCACAGGGAUCUGGACCGGGGCUCCUUCUCCCCCCCCCCUGGCUGGUCUCGCCAGCCACACUCCCCUGCAGACUGUCACAUUCCAAAGAGGAUUCACUUUUACCACAAGUGCCCUGGGUCACACUGUUGCUAAUUUAGCGACUGUUAUUGGACAAUGUGAUUCACCCUCCACGGCCUGCCUUCAGAUGGAUUCAUUACCUGCAUUGAUUGCUCUCUGUUGCUGUUCACCGCUUGCCAGCCAAGGCACAGCCCUGCUUAAAAAACCGGGUAGCGUUUUGCCUUCUGAUAAUGAUACAGAACUCCCUCCUCCAUCGCCAAUGACAUGGUAUUCCACUUUUUGAAGAUGGACUUAAAUUGCAUAACUCCUUUUCCAUGGUGAUGAGAAAAUAAAUUACUUUUCUCUAUUGCUA
This is a non-coding RNA of Marmota flaviventris (yellow-bellied marmot), 660 nucleotides long. Lineage: Eukaryota; Metazoa; Chordata; Mammalia; Rodentia; Sciuridae. The record is from RefSeq and is a predicted model, not a curated record.